This 478-nucleotide ribosomal RNA is filed under the name uncultured bacterium. Its description in RNAcentral is "partial 16S ribosomal RNA". It matches the Rfam family "Bacterial small subunit ribosomal RNA", at positions 28 to 523 of the family's 1533-position model. The record is from RNAcentral.
GACGAACGCUGGCGGCGUGCUUAACACAUGCAAGUCGAACGGUAAGGCCCUUCGGGGUACACGAGUGGCGAACGGGUGAGUAACACGUGGGUGAUCUGCCCUGCACUUCGGGAUAAGCCUGGGAAACUGGGUCUAAUACCGGAUAGGACUCCGGACUGCAUGGUCUGGGGUGGAAAGCUUUUGCGGUGUGGGAUGGGCCCGCGGCCUAUCAGCUUGUUGGUGGGGUGAUGGCCUACCAAGGCGACGACGGGUAGCCGGCCUGAGAGGGUGACCGGCCACACUGGGACUGAGGUACGGCCCAGACUCCUACGGGAGGCAGCAGUGGGGAAUAUUGAACAAUGGGCGCAAGCCUGAUGCAGCGACGCCGCGUGAGGGAUGACGGCCUUCGGGUUGUAAACCUCUUUCAGCAUCGACGAAGCGAAAGUGACGGUAGGUGCAGAAGAAGGACCGGCCAACUACGUGCCAGCCGCCGCUGUAA